This 235-nucleotide ribosomal RNA is filed under the name uncultured bacterium. RNAcentral describes it as "partial 16S ribosomal RNA". It matches the Rfam family "Bacterial small subunit ribosomal RNA", at positions 96 to 334 of the family's 1533-position model. The record is from RNAcentral.
UGGCGGGAGGGUGAGUAAUGUCUGGGAAACUGCCUGAUGGAGGGGGGUAACUACUGGAAACGGUAGCUAAUACCGCAUAACGUCGCAAGACCAAAGAGGGGGACCUUCGGGCCUCUUGCCAUCGGAUGUGCCCAGAUGGGAUUAGCUAGUAGGUGGGGUAAAGGCUCACCUAGGCGACGAUCCCUAGCUGGUCUGAGAGGAUGACCAGCCACACUGGAACUGAGACACGGUCCAG